GAGUCGACCCCUAAGGCGAGGCCGAAAGGCGUAGUCGAUGGGAAACAGGUUAAUAUUCCUGUACUUGGUGUUACUGCGAAGGGGGGACGGAGAAGGCUAUGUUGGCCGGGCGACGGUUGUCCCGGUUUAAGCGUGUAGGCUGGUUUUCCAGGCAAAUCCGGAAAAUCAAGGCUGAGGCGUGAUGACGAGGCACUACGGUGCUGAAGCAACAAAUGCCCUGCUUCCAGGAAAAGCCUCUAAGCAUCAGGUAACAUCAAAUCGUACCCCAAACCGACACAGGUGGUCAGGUAGAGAAUACCAAGGCGCUUGAGAGAACUCGGGUGAAGGAACUAGGCAAAAUGGUGCCGUAACUUCGGGAGAAGGCACGCUGAUAUGUAGGUGAAGUCCCUUGCGGAUGGAGCUGAAAUCAGUCGAAGAUACCAGCUGGCUGCAACUGUUUAUUAAAAACACAGCACUGUGCAAACACGAAAGUGGACGUAUACGGUGUGACGCCUGCCCGGUGCCGGAAGGUUAAUUGAUGGGGUUAGCGCAAGCGAAGCUCUUGAUCGAAGCCCCGGUAAACGGCGGCCGUAACUAUAACGGUCCUAAGGUAGCGAAAUUCCUUGUCGGGUAAGUUCCGACCUGCACGAAUGGCGUAAUGAUGGCCAGGCUGUCUCCACCCGAGACUCAGUGAAAUUGAACUCGCUGUGAAGAUGCAGUGUACCCGCGGCAAGACGGAAAGACCCCGUGAACCUUUACUAUAGCUUGACACUGAACAUUGAGCCUUGAUGUGUAGGAUAGGUGGGAGGCUUGGAAGUGUGGACGCCAGUCUGCAUGGAGCCGACCUUGAAAUACCACCCUUUAAUGUUUGAUGUUCUAACGUUGACCCGUAAUCCGGGUUGCGGACAGUGUCUGGUGGGUAGUUUGACUGGGGCGGUCUCCUCCUAAAGAGUAACGGAGGAGCACGAAGGUUGGCUAAUCCUGGUCGGACAUCAGGAGGUUAGUGCAAUGGCAUAAGCCAGCUUGACUGCGAGCGUGACGGCGCGAGCAGGUGCGAAAGCAGGUCAUAGUGAUCCGGUGGUUCUGAAUGGAAGGGCCAUCGCUCAACGGAUAAAAGGUACUCCGGGGAUAACAGGCUGAUACCGCCCAAGAGUUCAUAUCGACGGCGGUGUUUGGCACCUCGAUGUCGGCUCAUCACAUCCUGGGGCUGAAGUAGGUCCCAAGGGUAUGGCUGUUCGCCAUUUAAAGUGGUACGCGAGCUGGGUUUAGAACGUCGUGAGACAGUUCGGUCCCUAUCUGCCGUGGGCGCUGGAGAACUGAGGGGGGCUGCUCCUAGUACGAGAGGACCGGAGUGGACGCAUCACUGGUGUUCGGGUUGUCAUGCCAAUGGCACUGCCCGGUAGCUAAAUGCGGAAGAGAUAAGUGCUGAAAGCAUCUAAGCACGAAACUUGCCCCGAGAUGAGUUCUCCCUGAC
Molecule: ribosomal RNA, 1453 nt
Filed under: Escherichia coli FBH1
Lineage: Bacteria; Pseudomonadati; Pseudomonadota; Gammaproteobacteria; Enterobacterales; Enterobacteriaceae
Description: bacterial LSU rRNA
Rfam family: Bacterial large subunit ribosomal RNA
Source: RNAcentral